UUAGUCUUUUGACUUGAAUGUUUUUGCUUUAUUUUCUUCUUGCCUCGACGAUAUUCCUCGUUUCAUGCGUCGCCCUUUUUCGUCUCCUUCCAUACUUUUUUCGAUACUGGCGCUCAAAAAGAAACCUUUGAAUCGAAUGCAUCGUCUAUACUUUCAAGCUAAAAGAGCGUAAAUUCUCGUCGACUAAAAUCAGUGACGACUAACUCUUAUCCACACGGCCACGGCACCGUUCUGGAGUUCAUAUUCGGAAAUCGAUAGUUAAAAAUUUAUCCAGGAGGAAAAAGCUUUGGCUCUCCACUGGCUGCAGCCGUUGCAAAAGAACGCUGGGAGUUAUUUUCCCUCUGCUAUGGACGAGAAAAAGCGUCGAGAGAGUUGUCGACGACAGGAAAAAGGUCGAGGUAAAAGAGAGCAACAAAGAAAAGAGGGGAUUUUUGCGUUUUCAAUACACAAUAUAAAUUUGUCCGAAGAUGAAAAAAAAUUGCGGACGCGUACUUUGAUCGGGGAGAAGCAGACGCAUCAGGUGAAACUCAAGCAGUGGUUUGUAUAUUCACAGCGCGUGUAGCGCACAAAGGGAGACGGCCUUAAUAGAUCCCAGGGGAGCAAUUAAUACGACGACAUCGCUCCCCCUUUAUGCAAAAGGUUUAGGCAUCACCAUGGAUAAAUCGCGUAGGCAUUAAAUUACCGUGUGAAUUAGCCUUUAAACACUGAUGCUCCUUUAGCUUCGAGUUGGGUAAUCCAUUAAACUUUUAAUUCUCUUCAAGUCUU
Molecule: long non-coding RNA, 765 nt
Filed under: Nasonia vitripennis (jewel wasp)
Lineage: Eukaryota; Metazoa; Arthropoda; Insecta; Hymenoptera; Pteromalidae
Description: uncharacterized LOC107982170, transcript variant X2
Source: RNAcentral